Molecule: long non-coding RNA, 193 nt
Organism: Ananas comosus (pineapple)
Lineage: Eukaryota; Viridiplantae; Streptophyta; Magnoliopsida; Poales; Bromeliaceae
Exons: 3
Source: RefSeq, a predicted model, not a curated record
GUGGAGAGGAGCUAGGAGAAGGAGAUUUUGGAGCUUUGGAGGGUCAAGAAGCUCUCCAACAAGAAGGAGUUUGCUAGGGCUUGGACAAAGGACACGAGUUCGACGUCCGUGUGGCGCACGAGACUCCACACCUUGCUUCUACUACCCCUCGAGAGCCGGGACCCAGCGAGCCGGCGGACGAUCGCGGUAAGGG